UACAGAGGGGGCGAGCGUUGUUCGGAAUUACUGGGCGUAAAGGGCGCGUAGGCGGCCUGCUAAGUCAGACGUGAAAUCCCUCGGCUCAACCGGGGAACUGCGUCCGAUACUGGCGGGCUUGAAUCCGGGAGAGGAAUGCGGAAUUCCAGGUGUAGCGGUGAAAUGCGUAGAUAUCUGGAGGAACACCGGUGGCGAAGGCGGCAUUCUGGACCGGCAUUGACGCUGAUGCGCGAAAGCCAGGGGAGCAAACGGG
This 253-nucleotide ribosomal RNA is filed under the name uncultured bacterium. Its description in RNAcentral is "partial 16S ribosomal RNA". It matches the Rfam family "Bacterial small subunit ribosomal RNA", at positions 524 to 776 of the family's 1533-position model. The record is from RNAcentral.